RNAcentral lists this ribosomal RNA (253 nucleotides) under uncultured bacterium. RNAcentral's name for it is "partial 16S ribosomal RNA". It matches the Rfam family "Bacterial small subunit ribosomal RNA", at positions 524 to 776 of the family's 1533-position model. The record is from RNAcentral.
UACGGAGGGUGCAAGCGUUAUCCGGAUUCACUGGGUUUAAAGGGUGCGUAGGCGGACAGGUAAGUCAGUGGUGAAAUCUCCGAGCUUAACUCGGAAACUGCCAUUGAUACUAUCAGUCUUGAAUACCGUGGAGGUAAGCGGAAUAUGUCAUGUAGCGGUGAAAUGCUUAGAUAUGACAUAGAACACCAAUUGCGAAGGCAGCUUACUACCCGAAUAUUGACACUGAGGCACGAAAGCGUGGGGAUCAAACAGG